GUGCUUUUGCUUCAGCAGCACGUGCACUAAAUUUGGAAUGAUACAGAGAAGAUUAGCAUGGUCCCUGAACAAGAAUUAUAUGCAAAUUCUUGAAGUACUCCGUAUUUUU
Physeter macrocephalus (sperm whale) is the source of this 109-nucleotide small nuclear RNA. NCBI's taxonomy places the organism in Eukaryota, Metazoa, Chordata, Mammalia, Artiodactyla, Physeteridae. The record is from Ensembl.